Molecule: small nuclear RNA, 105 nt
Filed under: Carlito syrichta (Philippine tarsier)
Lineage: Eukaryota; Metazoa; Chordata; Mammalia; Primates; Tarsiidae
Source: RNAcentral
GUGUUCGCUUCAGCAGCACAUAUACAAAAAUUAGAAUGAUACAGAGAAUAUUAGCAUUGCUCCUGCAAGGAUGACAUGCAAAUUCAUGAAGCGUUCCAUAUUUUU